RNAcentral lists this ribosomal RNA (404 nucleotides) under uncultured bacterium. RNAcentral's name for it is "bacterial SSU rRNA". It matches the Rfam family "Bacterial small subunit ribosomal RNA", at positions 355 to 776 of the family's 1533-position model. The record is from RNAcentral.
UGGGGAAUUUUGCACAAUGGGGGAAACCCUGAUGCAGCGACGCCGCGUGGAGGAUGAAGGCCUUCGGGUUGUAAACUCCUUUUGCAGGGGACAAUGAUGAUGGUACCCUGCGAAUAAGCCACGGCUAACUCUGUGCCAGCAGCCGCGGUAAGACAGAGGUGGCAAGCGUUGUUCGGAAUCACUGGGCUUAAAGGGCGCGUAGGUGGUAGUGCAAGUCUGAGGUGGAAUCCCAUGGCUUAACCAUGGAACUGCCUUGGAAACUGCGCUACUUGAGUCAGUGAGGGGAGGGUAGAAUUCCUGGUGUAGCGGUGAAAUGCGUAGAUAUCAGGAGGAAGGCCGGUGGCGAAGGCGGCCCUCUGGCGCUGAACUGACACUGAGGCGCGAAAGCGUGGGGAGCAAACAGG